AGGUAUCUCAUCUGCGGUAAAUUGUACUGAUCAAAUGGCUUCGCAAAAUCAUCUUAGAGUCCAAGGUACUUACUCCAAACGCAAAUUUUUUUCAACUUUCAUCCUUCAGAGGCGUCUAUAAAUGUGUAUGAAUUUACCCCUAACGCGCCGUUUCAAAGAUUAGUUGGUCCUACCGUUAAAAUUCACAGUUGUCGAAGCAGUUGGUAUGUCUUAAAGCAUGCAAGAAACUACAUAAACCGGGAGUGUAUGAUGAAAUGGCUAGAUAUACCUGGGUUGUCUGUGCCAUCUUUGAUUGACGAAGCCAUUAGCACAAAAUCUCUAUGGUGUUCUUCUACGCCGAACGGGGGUUAUCAAGAUGUUGAAAGCAGGAACACAUGCAUCUUCGUAAGAAAUUGAGGUUAGUUUGUGUUACCAGAGGGUUGAGUUGGCCGUUCUUUACUGGAUGUGCUGAUUACCUUGCAUCUUUUGAAAACCACACAGACGUUGAUCCAGGGGAGUUAGUUACCUUCCGGGUUCUGUUCCUAAUGAUAAUUGUCCUCAAGUUGUAGUCAAGCUGGCACCGACUUGUUUCUUAAGCGAAAUAGAAGAAAUCUAAUCCUUUCUUGUUAUGUUUUUGUGCUGCUGGCUUUAGGGAGUACGUAGAAGGGGCAACUCUGAUGGACACGGAACCUAACCGUCAGAUUGUUAUUCCGAGUAACUUGAGUUGCUCUCUUUAACAGACACAUCGGAACUGCAGUAGGCCAUGCCAGGCAGAUGGUCAUAUAUAUUAAAAUAAAUCUGUGUGCUUAUUUGAUUCUUUCUAUAGAUGUUUUUGCAGGCAUAUACUAUAUAUAGUAACUUGUACACAGGAACCACCAUUUUACUAGUUUGGU
This is a long non-coding RNA of Papaver somniferum (opium poppy), 872 nucleotides long. RefSeq lists it as uncharacterized. The transcript has 3 exons. Lineage: Eukaryota; Viridiplantae; Streptophyta; Magnoliopsida; Ranunculales; Papaveraceae. The record is from RefSeq and is a predicted model, not a curated record.